UGCCUGCCUGCCUGCCUGCCUCCGUGUGCCCGUCACGACUAUAAAUCGCAGGCUCUUAGGGCAGGCGAGGAGCGAUGCGCAGGCAGCAGAGUGGUGAUAACCGCAAAUCCCCCGUCCGGAGGCGAGCGGUGCCCGGAGGACAGGCCGGCAGCCGGGCCGGGAAAUUAAGCCCUGCCCAGCGGGCUGAUUGCCCCUGGCGCUCCUUUCGCCAAAAUCACGCGUGAAAACCUCUGGUCCCCUCCGCGCACCUCCCCGGGCCCCCCCUCCGCUGCCGCUGGCUGUGCAGGGCCGAGCGGGCGCCGCUUCACCCUCCCCGCCGUGCGGGGUUUCGAGCAGAAGGGGCGAGGGAGGGAUUUCUCGCCGGAGGGGAUAUGCGGAGUCACUCCGGYGUGGAGGGCCAGAGCGGAGCGGGGAGGACAGGGCAGGCGCCCGCGCAGGGCGCUGCACGCUGCGGGUCGUGAGUUUGCGGGUUCUCUGCAGCGAGUCCGGGGAGGAGGGGGGCUACAGGGACAGCUGGACACUGCGUUAGCCAGAAGUUCACCCGUGGCCCCCUCUGAGGCAACCCGACCCCCUUUGCCUCUUCUGAAAUGGGAAGACAACUUUGCUCUUGUUUCUCUUCUUUUUUCUUUUCUGUUCUUUUUUUUUUUUUUGGUGCGAAGAGGAUCUUUUCGCCCCGUUUUUGACAUUUUGGGGCCCUUUCUCCCUUGGUUUCAUCUCCUGUCCUGUUGUCGGAGGAAGGGGGAACUUCACCGGCUGCUCUGCCACUGCGGCAGCGGGGAGGGUGAAGAAUUUCGCAUUUUAACUAUCCGGCCUGACCAAAAAUCUGGAAAAUUACACCCGAAACACCUUGGAGUGCACUGCUGGGUGGGUCGGGAAGUGCCUGGAGGAAGGAACUGUGUUCUGUGCCGACCACAGUUUUUUUUUUUUUUUUUAAAGUAACGAGAAGGAUGGGGAAAGGACCCGAAACCACAAACUUUAAAAGAAAAACGCUGCUCACCUGUAACUAAAAAWAUUAUAUUAAAUUAAAAGUUCGACCCAGGUAUCUACCCCGGAAGGGUCUUCUAAUCACACAAAUUCUAGACUACUAAAAUAGAGUUUUGCAAUGGAAAGACUGACACUACGCGAACUAUACUGGCGUAACUUUGACAUAAACAUCAUUCUGAUAAACCCUCAAAGCAAUGCAGUGAGUCACUGCCCCGGCAAUUUAGAAAAGUGAAUGGACCAAAAUGCUUCCAGAGAUGAUGAUUAUUUAAAAUACUUGUUUUCUUCUAGGUGCGUAUUUUACUGAAGAGGUAUGCGGCCAAAAAGAGAGAGUUAGAAAUAAAAGGUGAACUGGUCAGAGAGGAUGAGAGGGG
RNAcentral lists this long non-coding RNA (1355 nucleotides) under Apteryx haastii (Great spotted kiwi). RNAcentral describes it as "lncRNA (ENSAHAG00000014966.1)". The record is from RNAcentral. Lineage: Eukaryota; Metazoa; Chordata; Aves; Apterygiformes; Apterygidae.